This is a long non-coding RNA of Brassica napus (rape), 676 nucleotides long. RefSeq lists it as uncharacterized. The record is from RefSeq and is a predicted model, not a curated record. The transcript has 2 exons. NCBI's taxonomy places the organism in Eukaryota, Viridiplantae, Streptophyta, Magnoliopsida, Brassicales, Brassicaceae.
CAUUCGAUCUUUUACCUUCUGACUUCCUCCCGUGUGUAUGGGCUAUUAUAUAUUACCUAAUAAUACAUAUGUAUCAUCUUCUUCCUCUCAAGGCAGCCGCCUCCUCCAUCCAAGCUUCUUUGAUCUCCCAUAAUAUCUCUUUCUUUAUCUCUAAUCCUUUUAAUUGAGCUCUUGUGCUUGGCCAUCGAAGAAGACCUGAUGUAUCCACCUUCUUCAACCACCACCGGCCACUGUCAUUGGAGGAGAGCCACUGUCGCUGGAGAAUCACCGUUGGAGAGCACCGGAGCUAUCUCCACGCUUUGUCAGUGAUGUGACGGUGAACCGAGAUGAGGUGACACGAACCCGCAUUGGAACCACAACGUUCGCCACCACCAACCACCACGGACACCGAUCUACACCACCUCCUGCCGCGAACCACUGGGGUGACUCCUCUCAUUUCACCGUAAAGCCGCACUCUGGUAGGCUGAACCACCUUCAUCAACCGUGAGACUGACGAGUAGGAAUGAUUGCUGGUGCUUUGGGAGUUUUAUUUCAUUUUUUUUCAGAUUUGCGGUUUUAUGCUUUUACCGAUAUUUUUGAGAUUUAUUUUGUUAUUUGAAUUUAUGGCUAUUUAUUGGAUUUACGACUUUGGAGUUGACUUUUGAGAAGUAAUAAAUGGAAAUUUCAGACUUUUUUA